CCUACGGGAGGCAGCAGUGAGGAAUUUUCCGCAAUGGGCGAAAGCCUGACGGAGCAAUACCGCGUGGAGGAAAAAGAAGACCUGUGGGUUGUAAACUCCUUUUCUCAGAGAAGAACACUGACGGUAUCUGAGGAAUAAGCACCGGCUAACUAUGUGCCAGCAGCCGCGGUAAU
RNAcentral lists this ribosomal RNA (173 nucleotides) under uncultured bacterium. RNAcentral's name for it is "partial 16S ribosomal RNA". It matches the Rfam family "Bacterial small subunit ribosomal RNA", at positions 338 to 524 of the family's 1533-position model. The record is from RNAcentral.